GGUGGGAAUUCCCGCAAGGCCUAUCUUUUAAAUUCAAAGGUAGGAAAAUAAGGAUAAGAUCAGUAGAAGAUCGAGAUCAAUUUUUAAAUCACUAUAGGGAAGACCUUCUGAAAGGAACAGUCGGAGAGGAAAUAACACCAGAAUCGAAAGACGCAACAGACAUCUUAAACUUGACGUUUGGACUGAAAUCACCAACAGAAGAAGAACAACUACUCGGAGCAACAGGAGGCAAAUAGCUUCAGGAUGGCCCUGCAACUUCUAAGUUGGAAUUGUAACGGACUUAACCUUCCGCGAAAGAGGAAAAAUAUAUUUCAUUUAUUGAAAAAAAGAGCAGUUGGACUUAAUUUGUUUACAGGAAACUCAUAUAACAAGAUUGCAUAGGAAACUACUCGUCAAUAAGAGAUUAGGUCAAGAAUUUAUUUCAUCGGAUAAAGUUAAGAAAAGAGGAGUGGUAAUCUAUGCAAAGAAAACUUUCCCCAAAGUUUAUAUUCAAAGAUGAACAAGGAAGGUAUUUGGCAAUUGAAGUGCAAAUUCAAGGUGAAAAAUUUUUGAUACUAGGGAUCUAUGCACCUAAUGAAGGGAAGUCAGAAUUUUUUAAGAAGUUGCAUGAGACAUUGCUGGACUAUUUGGAUUACAAAUUAAUCAUGAUGGGAGACAUGAAUGGAGUGGUAUCUACAAAUAUGGACAAAGCACAAAGACAGGUAAUCACCAGAGAUGGGAGACUACCAAAGACUUUCUUUGAAAUAACUGAAAAUAUGGACUUGAUUGAUAUUUGGAGAACAAGGAAUCCUCUCGAGAGAGAGGAACCUUUUCUCUGAAGCAAUGAUGACCUGGACCAGAAUCGAUCAAAUUUGGAUUACUAGUGGGUUGGCUCCAAAGAUUAAAAAAGUGGAAAUCUGCCCAAAGACCUGCUCCGACCAUAAUGCUGUGAAGAUGGAAAUGAAACUUACAACAACUGGUCAAUUCAGAUGGAGGAUGAAUGACACCCUGUUUCGAGAUGAGGAGAUCCACAGAAAGGCCCAAAAAACUUUAAAGGACUAUUUUGAAAUAAAUCUAAAAACUGAUGUAGAAAAAAGAGUGAUCUGGGACGCAAGUAAAGCAGUGAUGCGAGGAUUUCUAAUUCAACAAAAUUCAG
Podarcis lilfordi (Lilford's wall lizard) is the source of this 1135-nucleotide non-coding RNA. NCBI's taxonomy places the organism in Eukaryota, Metazoa, Chordata, Lepidosauria, Squamata, Lacertidae. The record is from the annotation of a GenBank genome assembly.